AGCAAAUUACUACUAUAAAAGAGGGACACUUACAAAUGACUUAGGAAAUGUUCCUAGGCCAUAAAACACCUUCAGCUUCCUAAACAAGAAGACUUCAAACCAUAAGCAGGUUUUCCUGUGAUGCCUGCUGUACUUCUUGUGGUGUCUGUGGUACUUCUCGUGGUGUGUCUAACAUCAAAGCUCAAGCCCUUAUUUAUAGUUCCAAGACGAGACAACAAGUCUGAUUUUCCCGAUGUGGGACUAUGAGACUUGCCAAACUAACAAAUCUCCACCUUGGCAUGUCCCAACAAAACUUGCUCCACCUUCUUCACAAAAGCCCCAACGGGCAAUCACCAACAAUGAACACCAACCAAGUCCAAGCACUGCUUGAACUUGUAAACCGGAACAUGCUUCGUAAGCAUAUCAACUGGAUUGUCCUUCGUAUAAAUUUUCUGAACAAGGACCUUUCCCUCAGCAAUCAACCACUUAGCGGAAUUAUCAAAAGAAACUACAUCUGAAUAGGUAGUAGGCUCACCAACUUCACUUGUCUCUUUUGCAACAGACAAAGCAUAUGCAACCAAAUUUACAUAUCUUUGUGGUGGUCGAAUAUCUCUCAUAUGACCCAAACGCAUAUGCCAUAAUUUGGUGAUGUCAGAAUCAGACAAUGAUGAUGACGAGACUGCAACUGAACCUGUGAUAGUAGUUCCCUGCAGAAUAUACAAGCUACCAGACCUACAUGCUUUCAUAACAAUAAGAGCACUUCUAGAAACUUUCAUAACUCCACCUUCAACUGUGUAUUUACACCCAAGGGACUCUAGGGUGCCUAAAGAGAUGAGAUUCUUUUUCAAAUCAGGAACAUGUCUAACAUUAGUGAGCGUCCUCACAAUACCAUCAUGCAUUUUAAUUCGGAUUGUUCCUCUACCAACAACAUCACAUGCAGCAUUAUUGCCCAUCAAAACAAUUCCACCAUUACAAGAUUCAUAUGUGGAAAACAAAUCCCUAUUGGGACACAUGUGAUAAGAACAACCCAAAUCUAAAAUCCAUUCAUUUUUAGACUUUGUCCUGUCAUCAAUAGCAAAGAAAAUAUUUCCAAAAUUCUCAUCAAAUGCUACACUAGCUUCAGCGGAUUCAGUAGUUUUUUCAACAAAUUUUUCCUUUUGCUUUAAUUUAUUUUUCAAUUUAAAGCAAUCAAUCUUAAUGUGCCCCAUUUUAUGACAAUAUCUGCAUUCCAAAUUUCUAUGUCUGGAUUUAGAUCUAGAUUUAGAUCUACUACUGUCAAAUUCUCUUUUAUCCAUUUUAUCCCUGACAACCAGAUCCUCAGCCUGAUUUCCUCUACUUUCCCCAGUGAUAUCUCUGUCUAUUUGCUCCUUAGAUUUUAGUGCAGAUUUAAUUUCUUGAUACGAAACUGUUUCUUUUCUAUAAAUCAAAGUAUCACGGAAAUGCUUAAAAGAUUGGGGAAGAGAACACAAGAGCAACAAAGCCUUAUCCUCAUCAUCAAAUUUUGCAUCUAUAUUCUCCAAAUCCAUAACCAAAGAAUCAAACUUAUCAAGAUGCGAGAGUAUAGAUGUACCUUCAACCAUCCGAAACAUAUACAGACUCUGCUUCAAGUAGAGAUGAUUCUCCACUGUCCUCUUCAUGUACAAGGCUUUAAGUUUGUCCCACAUGCUCUUAGCCGUAGUCUCCGUAGCUACCUCCCGUAAAACCUCGUCAGAGAGGUUUAGAAUGAUGCUGGAUCGGGCCUUCUUAUCCAUACCCGCAAGAUCUUCCUUUGACGUACCAUCUGGAAUGUUCUCAGCACCCUGAAGUGCCAAAUCAACUCUNNNNNNNNNNNNNNNNNNNNCAUAGGCCAUAAAACACCUUCAGCUUCCUAAACAAGAAGACUUCAAACCAUAAGCAGGUUUUCUUGUGAUGCCUGCUGUACUUCUUGUGGUGUCUGUGGUACUUCUCGUGGUGUGUCUAACAUCAAAGCUCAGGCCCUUAUUUAUAGUUCCAAGACGAGACAACAAGUCUGAUUUUCCCGAUGUGGGACUAUGAGACUUGCCAAACUAACA
RNAcentral lists this long non-coding RNA (2030 nucleotides) under Musa acuminata (dwarf banana). RNAcentral's name for it is "long non-coding RNA (MACU_LNC008429)". Lineage: Eukaryota; Viridiplantae; Streptophyta; Magnoliopsida; Zingiberales; Musaceae. The record is from RNAcentral.